UGAUCAUGAAUGGAUGUUGAAUUUUGUCAGAUGCUUUUUCUGCAUGUAUUGAGAUGAGCAUAUAAUUUUUAUCUUUCAAUUUAAUAAUGUGGUGUAUCACAUUGAUUUGUGGAUAUUGAACCAUCCAUGAAUCCCCCCAAGUAAACCCCAUUUGAUUAUGGUGAAUGAUCCCUUUAAUGUAUUAUUGAAUAUACUUUGCUAAUGUUUUGUUGAGGAUUUUUGAAUUCAUGUGUUCAUGGUCUGUCAUUUACUUCCUUCUUCAUCCUUGUCCUCCUCCUCAUCUUCCUUGUCCUCAUCGUCAUCCUUGUCCUCCUCCUCCUCCUUCUCCUUAUCCUCCUCCUCUUCCUCCUCCUCCUCUCCUCCUCUCCUCCUCCUCCUCCUCCUCCUCCUCCUCAUCGUCCUCUUCCUCAUCCUCCUCAUCCUCCUCAUCCUCGUCCUCCUCCUUGUCGUCAUCCUCCUCCUCGUCGUCAUCCUCCUCCUCCUCCUCGUCGUCAUCCUCCUCCUUGUCGUCAUCCUCCUCCUCGUCGUCAUCCUCCUCCUCCUCGUCAUCCUCCUCCUCCUCGUCAUCCUCCUCCUCCUCGUCAUCCUCCUCCUCGUCCUCCUACUCCUCGUCCUCCUACUCCUUGUCCUCAUCCUCUCCGUCCUCCCCAUCCUCCUCCCUGUCCUCCCCGUCCUCCUCCCCGUCCUCCUCCCCAUCCUCCUCCUCGUCCUCUCCGUCCUCCUCCCUGUCCUCCUCCUCGUCCUCCUCAUCAUCCUCCUCAUCCUCCUCAUCCUCCUCCUCCUCCUCCGCCUCCUCCUCGUCCUCCUCCUUGUCGUCAUCCUCCUCCUCCUCCUCAUCCUCGUCCUCCUCCUCCUCCUCCUCCUCCUCCUCCUCCUCCUCAUCCUCGUCCUCCUCAUCGUCGUCAUCCUCCUCCUCCUCCUCGUCGUCAUCCUCCUCCUCUCCUCCUCCUUCUCCUCCUCCUCCUUCUCCUUCUCCUCCUCCUCCUCCGCCUCCUCCUCCUCCUCCGCCUUCUCCUCCUCCUCCUCCUCCGCCUCCUCCUCCUCAUCCUCCUCCUCCUCCUCCUCCUCCUCAUCCUCCUCCUCCUCUCCUCCUCCUCCUCCUCCUCAUCCUCCUCCUCCUCCUCCUCCUCCGCCUCCUCCUCCUCCUUUCCUCCUCCUCCUCCUUCUCCUCCUCCUCCUCCUCCUCCUUCCUCCUCCUCCUCCUCCUCCGCCUC
This 1214-nucleotide long non-coding RNA is filed under the name Felis catus (domestic cat). RNAcentral's name for it is "lncRNA (ENSFCAG00000052775.1)". Lineage: Eukaryota; Metazoa; Chordata; Mammalia; Carnivora; Felidae. The record is from RNAcentral.